RNAcentral lists this long non-coding RNA (204 nucleotides) under Vigna radiata. Its description in RNAcentral is "long non-coding RNA (VRAD_LNC005901)". The record is from RNAcentral. Lineage: Eukaryota; Viridiplantae; Streptophyta; Magnoliopsida; Fabales; Fabaceae.
AAUCUAAUUAGUACACGUAUGCAAUGAAAGUAAAAGAGAUAAUGAAAGAAAUAGAAAUAGGGGAUUCAUACUGGUUUGACCUCAAUGCUUACAUCCAUUUCCCUUCCAAUCAACCUUAGAUUGAAGGAUCUUUCACUAUAAUGAUUUGAGUUUUACACCAAAGGUUUUAUAGAGACUCUCUCGAAUGUAGAAAGAUAACACCUG